UCUAAUAUUCCAAAAUUUUCUUGGGGGGGGGGGGCAUGCCCCCAAACCUCCCUAGCUGGUUCGGAUCACUUCGUGAUCCUCACCAGGGACACAGAUUUUAUCCGGUCCAGUACAUAUAAAUUCAGGCUAGUAUUUUUUUUUUUUACUACCCCAUAGGGCUAGUUAUUCAAAUAGUUUUUGGCACAGACUGUAAACAAACAACAACCACUGUAUGUCUGUACUCUAACUAUUUAUUCAGAAAAGAAGAUGUGGUAUGAUUGCCAAUGAGAUAACUCGCCACAAGAGACCAAAUUGACACAGAAAUUAACAACUAUAGUUAACUUUAGAUUGCCUUAACCAAAUGUUAGUAAACUGUUAUACAAUGCUUAUUACCACUAAACACAAUCAAGUUUGAAUAUUUGGGGGCGUCACUUUAGUCGUUCUAAAGUUAUGCCCCUUUACAAAUGGUAAAAUUGCUAUUUUUUUUAGUUUUCUUCCUAUUUCUGUAGUUUGCCUUAAUCUAAUGUGAUAAAACUUUUAUACAAUACUUUUUAGUUAUUUUGUGUAUAUUUAAAUUGCAGAGUAAUGAAUAUCUUAUAUUUCAUAGGGAUCAAUAUACAGGGAUAUUGCUACUCUGAGGCCCAUGCAGGAAAGUCAUAUUGUGAUUCAAAGAUGGCAAAUAAGCGCAAAAAGAUAAAAAGUUGGGUUGCAAGUUGAAAAAAAAACAUUGUAACAGCAGCUGAUAUGAAAACUGUCCUUGACUCUAGAACAGGUGUUGCUGGAUGUCAAGUCUCUAAAUGUGCUAACAACACCUCAUAACACAAACUGAUUACACACAAGUUAGAAGGAAUAAAUGAUUUUAAUGAGUUGUGAGUUGAAAAAGAUGGUAUACUACUGAGGAAAGCCUACAACAUCGGCAAGGACUGAUGAAGAUUGCACAGCAGAAUAAAAAUGAUUGCUCAUUUGGGAUUAUCUCUUGUCCUUGAUAUAUAGUUAAACAAGUGCAGAGAUAUUUUUGCCUGAGCUUUUGUUCUUUUUCAUCAAUGUUCAGAAAGAAGAAAUAUAGAAGAAUAAAGAAAAAAUUGGUAA
Mytilus trossulus (common blue mussel) is the source of this 1068-nucleotide long non-coding RNA. RefSeq lists it as uncharacterized. The record is from RefSeq and is a predicted model, not a curated record. NCBI's taxonomy places the organism in Eukaryota, Metazoa, Mollusca, Bivalvia, Mytilida, Mytilidae. The transcript is spliced from 3 exons.